GAUGAACGCUGGCGGCGUGCCUAAUACAUGCAAGUCGAGCGAACAGAUAAGGAGCUUGCUCCUUUGACGUUAGCGGCGGACGGGUGAGUAAAACGUGGGUAACCUGCCUAUAAGACUGGGAUAACUUCGGGAAACCGGAGCUAAUACCGGAUAAUAUUUCGAACCGCAUGGUUCGAUAGUGAAAGAUGGUUUUGCUAUCACUUAUAGAUGGACCCGCGCCGUAUUAGCUAGUUGGUAAGGUAACGGCUUACCAAGGCGACGAUACGUAGCCGACCUGAGAGGGUGAUCGGCCACACUGGAACUGAGACACGGUCCAGACUCCUACGGGAGGCAGCAGUAGGGAAUCUUGCGCAAUGGGCGAAAGCCUGACGGAGCAACGCCGCGUGAGUGAUGAAGGUCUUCGGAUCGUAAAACUCUGUUAUUAGGGAAGAACAUACGUGUAAGUAACUGUGCACGUCUUGACGGUACCUAAUCAGAAAGCCACGGCUAACUACGUG
This 497-nucleotide ribosomal RNA is filed under the name uncultured bacterium. RNAcentral describes it as "partial 16S ribosomal RNA". It matches the Rfam family "Bacterial small subunit ribosomal RNA", at positions 28 to 507 of the family's 1533-position model. The record is from RNAcentral.